UACGUAGGUGGCAAGCGUUGUCCGGAAUAACUGGGCGUAAAGCGCAUGUAGACGGCAUGAUAAGCCAAAUGUGAAAUGUAGGGGCUCAACCCCUGCACUGCGAUUGGAACUGUCAAGCUUGAGUGCAGGAGAGGCAAAUGGAAUUCCCAGUGUAGCAGUGAAAUGCGUAGAGAUUGGGAGGAACACCAGUGGCGAAGGCGAUUUGCUGGACUGCAACUGACGUUGAGAUGCGAAAGCUAGGGGGAG
This 246-nucleotide ribosomal RNA is filed under the name uncultured prokaryote. RNAcentral's name for it is "partial 16S ribosomal RNA". It matches the Rfam family "Bacterial small subunit ribosomal RNA", at positions 524 to 769 of the family's 1533-position model. The record is from RNAcentral.